CUACAUACAGUAAUAGGAGAAUAGUGGCUGUAUCAGUAUGCAGGAUGAAUAGAGAAGGAUCAGUAGAGCUACAGAAAAAACCAUAUUCAAGCAGAAAGCUGCUGAACCUAUCAAACCAGGCUCGAGGAGCUUGUCGAAGUCCAUAAAGAGAUCUUCGAAGAAGACAAACAUGAUGAGGCUUUUGUGAAUCUUUAAAUCCUGGAGGUUGCUCCAUGAACACUGUUUCACUUAAGUGUCCAUGACUGAAGGUUUCUGUGAAAUCAAGACCUUCUUCUUGAUGAAAGCCUUUGGCAACCAGCCUAGCUUUGAGUCUAUCCAAGCUUCCAUCGGGUGCAAGUUUUGUCUUGAACACCCAUUUGCACCCGAUUACAUUCAUGUGAUUAAUGCGAGGAACUAAUUCCCAGGAUCAAGUGACAUUUGUAUGUGGAAUCGACCUUCAGAACUACUUGAAGUGAGCUCACCAUUCUGUAUUUCUGGAGCUACUUGGUUAAGUCUGGAUAUAUCCAGCUGCACCGAGAAAAAUCAUCCACAAAAAUGACAUAGUAGGAGAAUUUCUGAACAGAUUGAAUUGGUGAAGGUCCCCAUACAUCACAAUGUAUUCUUUCUAAUGGAACUUUAGA
This is a long non-coding RNA of Eucalyptus grandis, 620 nucleotides long. RefSeq lists it as uncharacterized. The transcript has 4 exons. Lineage: Eukaryota; Viridiplantae; Streptophyta; Magnoliopsida; Myrtales; Myrtaceae. The record is from RefSeq and is a predicted model, not a curated record.